AAGGCAAGACCGCGAGGUGGAGCAAAUCUCAAAAAGCCGUCCCAGUUCGGAUCGCAGGCUGCAACCCGCCUGCGUGAAGUUGGAAUCGCUAGUAAUCGCGGAUCAGCAUGCCGCGGUGAAUACGUUCCCGGGCCUUGUACACACCGCCCGUCACACCAUGGGAGUCGGGAAUGCCCGAAGUCAGUGACCCAACCAAAUGGAGGGAGCUGCCGAAGGCAGGUCUGAUAACUGGGGUGAAGUCGUAACAAGGUAAC
Molecule: ribosomal RNA, 254 nt
Filed under: uncultured bacterium
Lineage: Bacteria
Description: partial 16S ribosomal RNA
Rfam family: Bacterial small subunit ribosomal RNA
Source: RNAcentral